CAAAUCCUGAAGUGUUCGUUAUAUACAUUUCAGUUUUGACCUAACAACCAAUCGUAAGGGAGUUUUACAUCUCCGUGUGGAUGACAAGCCUUUCGAGGACGUCAAAUGCAUGGAUGCGAACACCCACCUGCUAUAUGCGGGCUCAAAACGAUUUCGUAAAAAACGGCACAGUCGGGAUUUGU
RNAcentral lists this non-coding RNA (182 nucleotides) under Planococcaceae bacterium Storch 2/2-2. Its description in RNAcentral is "6S / SsrS RNA". It matches the Rfam family "6S / SsrS RNA". Rfam says of the family: E. coli 6S RNA was the first non coding RNA to be sequenced, but its function was unknown until recently. It consists of 184 nucleotides that fold into an extended hairpin structure with a large single-stranded internal bulge. The record is from Rfam by way of RNAcentral. Lineage: Bacteria; Bacillati; Bacillota; Bacilli; Caryophanales; Caryophanaceae. RNAcentral also lists the same sequence under 1 other name.